Molecule: ribosomal RNA, 317 nt
Filed under: uncultured bacterium
Lineage: Bacteria
Description: bacterial SSU rRNA
Rfam family: Bacterial small subunit ribosomal RNA
Source: RNAcentral
GAUAAACGCUGGCGGCGCACAUAAGACAUGCAAGUCGAACGGACUUAAUCGAAAUAUUUAUAUUUUGAAGCGGCUAGUGGCGGACUGGUGAGUAACGCGUAAGGAACCUACCUAUUAGAGGGGAAUAACAGUGAGAAAUCAUUGCUAAUACCGCAUAUGCCAUAGAUAUCACAUGAUAACAGUGGGAAAGGAGCAAUCCGCUAAUAGAUGGCCUUGCGUCUGAUUAGAUAGUUGGUGGGGUAACAGCCUACCAAGUCGACGAUCAGUAGCCGGACUGAGAGGUUGAACGGCCACAUUGGGACUGAGAUACGGCCCAG